UUGGGCGUAAAGCGCGCGCAGGCGGUUUCUUAAGUCUGAUGUGAAAGCCCACGGCUUAACCGUGGAGGGUCAUUGGAAACUGGGAGACUUGAGUGCAGAAGAGGAAAGUGGAAUUCCAAGUGUAGCGGUGAAAUGCGUAGAGAUUUGGAGGAACACCAGUGGCGAAGGCGACUUUCUGGUCUGCAACUGACGCUGAGGCGCGAAAGCAUGGGGAGCAAACAGGAUUAGAUACCCUGGUAGUCCAUGCCGUAAACGAUGAGUGCUAAGUGUUAGGGGGUUUCCGCCCCUUAGUGCUGCAGCUAACGCAUUAAGCACUCCGCCUGGGGAGUACGACCGCAAGGUUGAAACUCAAAGGAAUUGACGGGGGCCCGCACAAGCGGUGGAGCAUGUGGUUUAAUUCGAAGCAACGCGAAGAACCUUACCAGGUCUUGACAUCCCAGUGACCGCUCUAGAGAUAGAGUUUUCCCUUCGGGGACAUUGGUGACAGGUGGUGCAUGGUUGUCGUCAGCUCGUGUCGUGAGAUGUUGGGUUAAGUCCCGCAACGAGCGCAACCCUUGAUCUUAGUUGCCAUCAUUUAGUUGGGCACUCUAAGGUGACUGCCGGUGACAAACCGGAGGAAGGUGGGGAUGA
Molecule: ribosomal RNA, 630 nt
Filed under: uncultured bacterium
Lineage: Bacteria
Description: bacterial SSU rRNA
Rfam family: Bacterial small subunit ribosomal RNA
Source: RNAcentral